UACGGGGCUUAUGUCUUGUAAAUUGGAUGAUGGGAAUUUAAACCUCUUCCAGAGUAACAAUUGGAGGGCAAGUCUGGUGCCAGCAGCCGCGGUAAUUCCAGCUCCAAUAGCGUAUAUUAAAAUUGUUGCAGUUAAAAAGCUCGUAGUUGAAUUUCUGCUGCAUUGCAUUUUCUCCUAUACGAGUUUUUGCAUUGUGGCUUAUUUCGGUUAUAAAAUUUAUUUUUAUUUCCGGAUGUUUACUUUGAGAAAAUUAGAGUGCUCAAAGCAGGCUUUUGCCUUGAAUAGUUUAGCAUGGAAUAAUAAAGUAGGACUUUGGUUCUAUUUUGUUGGUUUUAGGUACCAAAGUAAUGGUUAAUAGGAACAGUUGG
Molecule: ribosomal RNA, 368 nt
Filed under: Theileria capreoli
Lineage: Eukaryota; Apicomplexa; Aconoidasida; Piroplasmida; Theileriidae
Description: SSU rRNA
Rfam family: Eukaryotic small subunit ribosomal RNA
Source: RNAcentral